This 468-nucleotide ribosomal RNA is filed under the name uncultured bacterium. RNAcentral describes it as "partial 16S ribosomal RNA". It matches the Rfam family "Bacterial small subunit ribosomal RNA", at positions 28 to 507 of the family's 1533-position model. The record is from RNAcentral.
GACGAACGCUGGCGGCGUGCUUAACACAUGCAAGUCGAACGGAAAGGCCCUGCUUUUGUGGGGUGCUCGAGUGGCGAACGGGUGAGUAACACGUGAGUAACCUGCCCUUGACUUUGGGAUAACGUCAGGAAACUGGGGCUAAUACAGGAUAGGAGCUCCAGCUGCAUGGUGGGGGUUGGAAAGUUUUGGCGGUUGGGGAUGGACUCGCGGCUUAUCAGCUUGUUGGUGGGGUAGUGGCUUACCAAGGCUUUGACGGGUAGCCGGCCUGAGAGGGGGACCGGCCACAGUGGGACAGAGAUACGGCCCAGACUCCUGCGGGAGGCAGCAGUGUGGAAUAUUGCACGAUGGGCGGAAGCCUGAUGCAGCAACGCCGCGUGCUGGAUGACGGCCUUCGGGUUGAAAACCGCUUUCGCCUGUGACGAAGCGUGAGUGACGGUAAUGGGUAAAGAAGCACCGGCUAACUACGUG